Molecule: transfer RNA, 65 nt
Filed under: Parachronistis sp.
Lineage: Eukaryota; Metazoa; Arthropoda; Insecta; Lepidoptera; Gelechiidae
Description: tRNA-Ala
Source: RNAcentral
AGGAUUAUAGUUUAAAAAAAACUUUUGAUUUGCAUUCAAAAAAUAUUAAAAUUUUAAUUUAUCUU